RNAcentral lists this ribosomal RNA (547 nucleotides) under Bacillus cereus. RNAcentral describes it as "bacterial LSU rRNA". It matches the Rfam family "Bacterial large subunit ribosomal RNA", at positions 2383 to 2925 of the family's 2925-position model. Lineage: Bacteria; Bacillati; Bacillota; Bacilli; Caryophanales; Bacillaceae. RNAcentral also lists the same sequence under 1 other name. The record is from RNAcentral.
UACAAGUCGAGCAGGGACGAAAGUCGGGCUUAGUGAUCCGGUGGUUCCGCAUGGAAGGGCCAUCGCUCAACGGAUAAAAGCUACCCCGGGGAUAACAGGCUUAUCUCCCCCAAGAGUCCACAUCGACGGGGAGGUUUGGCACCUCGAUGUCGGCUCAUCGCAUCCUGGGGCUGUAGUCGGUCCCAAGGGUUGGGCUGUUCGCCCAUUAAAGCGGUACGCGAGCUGGGUUCAGAACGUCGUGAGACAGUUCGGUCCCUAUCCGUCGUGGGCGUAGGAAAUUUGAGAGGAGCUGUCCUUAGUACGAGAGGACCGGGAUGGACGCACCGCUGGUGUACCAGUUGUUCUGCCAAGGGCAUAGCUGGGUAGCUAUGUGCGGAAGGGAUAAGUGCUGAAAGCAUCUAAGCAUGAAGCCCCCCUCAAGAUGAGAUUUCCCAUAGCGUAAGCUAGUAAGAUCCCUGAAAGAUGAUCAGGUUGAUAGGUUCGAGGUGGAAGCAUGGUGACAUGUGGAGCUGACGAAUACUAAUAGAUCGAGGACUUAACCAUAUAA